UAUUCGUUAGUUUUUUCUUUUCACUUGUUCAUUUUCAAUUGACAGCACAAGAUGAUAGAUUUGCAAACUCAAACUGGUUAUUCAUGUGACGUAGUUGAGGGAAAUACCUCUACACAGCCCACAUUAAUGACAUAAAAAGAUAUAAUAAAUAAUGUCCUUGGCACAUGAUCGGGAUACAUAUGGGGAGCGGGCCAAGCACUAAGAGGGGGUUCGAGAAGGAGGAGCACAGAAAAUGGUUAUUUCUCUACUCAAAGUCAAGAACACAUGCUUGAGACCUUCAAAACUCUACAGAAUGCUGAUCGAUAACCUUAAGAACUUUGUGAAGUCUAUGUUCCCACAUUUUGGGCGCUGAUUAGGUUGAGUCAUGAACAAGCCUUAACUCCUUCUACAGCACCUGAGGGUCCAUUCAGCCAUGAAUCUUACUAUUUAGCAACUUAAUCUUCUACAGCACCUGAGGGUCCAUUCAGCCAUGGUCAAAAAAAAAAAAGAGAAUAGAAAUUGACAUGACGAGAAGAAGAGGGCAAUAAUCACUCACACUCAUCACCCAUCUUCAGUUUUAUUAGUUUUCGGUUCAGACUGUACCCAAACAAUACAGAUUCUUUGUUCCUCAAUCCCGCCAAAUAUCAUGGAUGAUGCUCUCGGUGAUGCUAACCUCCUCGGUGAUCCUUAUUGCACUCGCAUGGUUGCUCGCGUUUGUUUCUCAACAAACUUCGAACACACGCUUUGCAAGGGACAAAGUAAACGCAAUGUUCUAUGCAGAGAUGUACCAUUUGAUCCGAGCAGGAAGCAUCGACGACACCAACUUUCUCACGACAAUAUGAUGCUCUCGGUGAUCCUUACUGCACUCUCAUGGUUGCUCGUGUUUCUCAACAAACUAUCGAACACACGC
Long non-coding RNA from Morus notabilis, 889 nucleotides. RefSeq lists it as uncharacterized. Lineage: Eukaryota; Viridiplantae; Streptophyta; Magnoliopsida; Rosales; Moraceae. The transcript is spliced from 7 exons. The record is from RefSeq and is a predicted model, not a curated record.